RNAcentral lists this transfer-messenger RNA (367 nucleotides) under Saprospiraceae. RNAcentral's name for it is "UBA3362 sp016714365 Standard tmRNA". It matches the Rfam family "transfer-messenger RNA". Rfam says of the family: Bacterial tmRNA, also known as 10Sa RNA or SsrA, is named for its dual tRNA and mRNA-like properties. Its role is to liberate the mRNA from a stalled ribosome. To accomplish this part of the tmRNA is used as a reading frame that ends in a translation stop signal. The record is from RNAcentral. RNAcentral also lists the same sequence under 1 other name. Lineage: Bacteria; Pseudomonadati; Bacteroidota; Saprospiria; Saprospirales.
GGGGCUGACUGGAAUCGACAGGAAAUGUGAUUGGUUAGUAAGCAUGCCGUAGGAUGAUAGUACGCUACGUAAAAAACGAUUAUCAAACCACAAAUGGCAAUACAACUUUUGCCGUUGCAGCUUAAUUCUAGGAAUUAAUUUGCUUCUGUGCAAUGGAGCUGAAGUCUGAUAGGCUCCUGUCGCGCAUCAAACCUUUUCAGACUGGUCGCUUGCAAGUCCCGGGCAAGAGACAAGAUUAAGGGAAUACGCUUUGGAAAGGUGGUUUCUUAACCUACUCCUUAGCCGACAACCGAAUAGGAAACUAAGCAUGUAGAAAGUUAAUGGGUUCUUUCUCUGGACCGGGGUUCGACUCCCCGCAGCUCCACAA